This 1259-nucleotide ribosomal RNA is filed under the name Bacillus sp. (in: firmicutes). RNAcentral describes it as "bacterial SSU rRNA". It matches the Rfam family "Bacterial small subunit ribosomal RNA", at positions 53 to 1288 of the family's 1533-position model. Lineage: Bacteria; Bacillati; Bacillota; Bacilli; Caryophanales; Bacillaceae. The record is from RNAcentral.
ACAUGCAAGUCGAGCGGACAGAUGGGAGCUUGCUCCCUGAUGUUAGCGGCGGACGGGUGAGUAACACGUGGGUAACCUGCCUGUAAGACUGGGAUAACUCCGGGAAACCGGGGCUAAUACCGGAUGGUUGUUUGAACCGCAUGGUUCAGACAUAAAAGGUGGCUUCGGCUACCACUUACAGAUGGACCCGCGGCGCAUUAGCUAGUUGGUGAGGUAACGGCUCACCAAGGCGACGAUGCGUAGCCGACCUGAGAGGGUGAUCGGCCACACUGGGACUGAGACACGGCCCAGACUCCUACGGGAGGCAGCAGUAGGGAAUCUUCCGCAAUGGACGAAAGUCUGACGGAGCAACGCCGCGUGAGUGAUGAAGGUUUUCGGAUCGUAAAGCUCUGUUGUUAGGGAAGAACAAGUGCCGUUCAAAUAGGGCGGCACCUUGACGGUACCUAACCAGAAAGCCACGGCUAACUACGUGCCAGCAGCCGCGGUAAUACGUAGGUGGCAAGCGUUGUCCGGAAUUAUUGGGCGUAAAGGGCUCGCAGGCGGUUUCUUAAGUCUGAUGUGAAAGCCCCCGGCUCAACCGGGGAGGGUCAUUGGAAACUGGGGAACUUGAGUGCAGAAGAGGAGAGUGGAAUUCCACGUGUAGCGGUGAAAUGCGUAGAGAUGUGGAGGAACACCAGUGGCGAAGGCGACUCUCUGGUCUGUAACUGACGCUGAGGAGCGAAAGCGUGGGGAGCGAACAGGAUUAGAUACCCUGGUAGUCCACGCCGUAAACGAUGAGUGCUAAGUGUUAGGGGGUUUCCGCCUCUUAGUGCUGCAGCUAACGCAUUAAGCACUCCGCCUGGGGAGUACGGUCGCAAGACUGAAACUCAAAGGAAUUGACGGGGGCCCGCACAAGCGGUGGAGCAUGUGGUUUAAUUCGAAGCAACGCGAAGAACCUUACCAGGUCUUGACAUCCUCUGACAAUCCUAGAGAUAGGACGUCCCCUUCGGGGGCAGAGUGACAGGUGGUGCUGGUUGUCGUCAGCUCGUGUCGUAAGAUGUUGGUUUAAGUCCCGCAACGAGCGCAACCCUUGAUCUUAGUUGCCAUCAUUCAGUUGGCACUCUAAGGGGACUGCCGGUUAACAAAACGGAAGGAAGGGGGGGAUUACGUCAAAUUAUCAUGGCCCCUUUAUGACCGGGGCUACCCACGGUUCUACAAUGGGGAGAAACCAAGGGCAGCCAAAACCCGGGAAGUUAACGCCAUCCCCCAAAAUCUGGUCC